UCCUUUUUCCUUGAAGUUUAUAAAAAUAAAUGUUUAUUUUACUUUGCUCUUCAAAUAUAUUAUGCGCAUCUUAGAAUAGGUCAAGGGAUUCAUUAAAUGGAAUAUACUUAAGUCAAACAAAUUGCAACAUUAUUAAGUUUAUGCAUUGAAAGCCGGACAUCCCGACAGGGUACUUGGACGGUUGGACGGACAGCUGGACAAACGCAAUGGACGCAGUCGUGCGCUACAAGUUCGUGUAGCGGAUGUACACUGGAGAUUUAAGCCUUCUGCCGGCCAACCAGCGCACCUCAGCUGCUGACCUCGCUGGCCUGCAGCAUCCACCUAACCACCCAAUCC
Long non-coding RNA from Drosophila serrata, 336 nucleotides. NCBI's taxonomy places the organism in Eukaryota, Metazoa, Arthropoda, Insecta, Diptera, Drosophilidae. The record is from RefSeq and is a predicted model, not a curated record.